UACGAAGGGGGCUGGCGUUGUCCGGAUUUACUGGGCGUAAAGAGCGCGCAGGCGGUCGUUCAAGUCGCGUGUGAAAGCCCCCGGCUCAACUGGGGAGGGUCACGCGAUACUGAUCGACUCGAAGGCAGGAGAGGGUAGUGGAAUUCCCGGUGUAGUGGUGAAAUGCGUAGAUAUCGGGAGGAACACCAGUGGCGAAGGCGACUACCUGGCCUGUUCUUGACGCUGAGGCGCGAAAGCUAGGGGAGCAAACGGG
RNAcentral lists this ribosomal RNA (253 nucleotides) under uncultured bacterium. RNAcentral describes it as "partial 16S ribosomal RNA". It matches the Rfam family "Bacterial small subunit ribosomal RNA", at positions 524 to 776 of the family's 1533-position model. The record is from RNAcentral.